Molecule: ribosomal RNA, 253 nt
Filed under: uncultured bacterium
Lineage: Bacteria
Description: partial 16S ribosomal RNA
Rfam family: Bacterial small subunit ribosomal RNA
Source: RNAcentral
UACAGAGGGUGCGAGCGUUGUCCGGAAUCACUGGGCGUAAAGGGCGCGUAGGCGGUUUGGCAAGCGUGCGGUGAAAGCUCGGGGCUCAACCCCGAGUCGGCCGUGCGAACUGCCGGACUUGAGCACAGUAGAGGCAGAUGGAAUUCCGGGAGUAGCGGUGGAAUGCGUAGAGAUCCGGAAGAACACCGGUGGCGAAGGCGGUCUGCUGGGCUGUGGCUGACGCUGAUGCGCGACAGCGUGGGGAGCAAACAGG